RNAcentral lists this non-coding RNA (29 nucleotides) under Homo sapiens (human). The record is from RNAcentral. Lineage: Eukaryota; Metazoa; Chordata; Mammalia; Primates; Hominidae.
UGAUGCCAAGUGUCUGGGUACUUGUAGGA